UUUUCACGGCUAAUCUCGUUG
Molecule: non-coding RNA, 21 nt
Filed under: Caenorhabditis elegans
Lineage: Eukaryota; Metazoa; Nematoda; Chromadorea; Rhabditida; Rhabditidae
Source: RNAcentral